AAGAAGGUGCAUGAAAUAAAGCGAAGGGGGCCGGUUGUGCAGAAGAGGUGGCUUCCACCUCCGAGUGGUACGGUAAAAUUGAAUGCAGAUGGGGCAGUGGCCAGGUCUCGGCGUGGAGGAGCUGCGACAGCAAUUUGCCGUGAUCAGGAUGGCAAUUACCUGGGAUCAUCAGCAGUGGUUUAUCAUGGAGUUACUGAUCCGAUGAUGCUCGAGACUUAUGCUUGCAGAGAAGCGUUGGCUUUGGCAGAAGAUCUC
RNAcentral lists this ribosomal RNA (255 nucleotides) under Triticum aestivum (bread wheat). RNAcentral's name for it is "partial small subunit ribosomal RNA". The record is from RNAcentral. Lineage: Eukaryota; Viridiplantae; Streptophyta; Magnoliopsida; Poales; Poaceae.